RNA transcript from Raphanus sativus (radish), 914 nucleotides. RefSeq lists it as uncharacterized. The transcript is spliced from 5 exons. Lineage: Eukaryota; Viridiplantae; Streptophyta; Magnoliopsida; Brassicales; Brassicaceae. The record is from RefSeq and is a predicted model, not a curated record.
AGUCUCUCUCUAGACUCUUUCUUGUUCUUAUUCUCUCUAAUUUCUUAAUCACUUCAAUCUCAUACAAAAUACUCAAAUUAAUCUGAAUCACACUAUAAACCCAAAAGUGUUUAAACCGAAAUCCAUUCUUAAAUCAAAACCUAAGCUAAAUCCUUAUCUAUCCUUUCCAUUUAUUGGCUCCAUCACGAUGUGUCUCCAAAGCUUCCUUUCGAUCUUUGAGACGGUGCCAGGAUCUGUAUAAAUAGAGAAUGAACUUUCACGGAGAGAGAUGAGAAAAUAAUCUUCCGGUUUGAAUCCAAACAGAGUCUCCUUGCAAGUCAAGUGUCUGUGUGUUUUGGAUUUUACUUUAGUGAAGAUAAACAGAAUCAGAUAAGUUGAAGCUUUCUAGAAGGUGUUUCAACAAGAUCCAUGGCGACCGUAUGAAGGAAGAGCUUGCAAGCAGAUUCAAGCAAAACGAGAUUGGAGAACGAUGAUGCUCAACCGCCAUGCUUUACGGUGAACAAAUCACGGUCUCUGUACUCUGUUUCACAAUGAUAUUGGUUUUGUUUAUUGUUUUUGUUUUUGUUUGUUACUCCUUUUAUUUAUUCAGAACUUAAUUUAUCGUUUUGUGUCAAAAUCUUUGCGUCUCUCUUUUGCAGAAUGAAACUAACCUUUGUUAAUCAGCUUCUGAUGAUGAAAUGUGGAAGCAAAGUUCUACGUGGUAGAAGCCUAGGACAUCACUCCCAAGAACUUGAAUACUUUGAGGCUGUUGAAGGGGUUCUAAAGAUCAAGGACGGAUAUAAUCCUGCAACGUGAAUGCUUGAAGAUGGACAUUCACAUUGGAGUACCUUAUUGCACAAAAAAAUAUUAAUUUUAUAAUUAUUGCACAAUGUCAACAAAUAAAAUUUAUAAAAUCAGUGUAUUUGCAAAAAUAA